RNAcentral lists this ribosomal RNA (459 nucleotides) under uncultured bacterium. Its description in RNAcentral is "partial 16S ribosomal RNA". It matches the Rfam family "Bacterial small subunit ribosomal RNA", at positions 338 to 795 of the family's 1533-position model. The record is from RNAcentral.
CCUACGGGCGGCAGCAGUGAGGAAUAUUGGUCAAUGGUCGGGAGACUGAACCAGCCAAGCCGCGUGAGGGAGGAAGGUACAGAGUAUCGUAAACCUCUUUUGUCAGGGAACAAAGGCGGGGACGUGUCCCCGGAUGCGUGUACCUGAAGAAAAAGCAUCGGCUAACUCCGUGCCAGCAGCCGCGGUAAUACGGAGGAUGCGAGCGUUAUCCGGAUUUAUUGGGUUUAAAGGGUGCGCAGGCGGUCUGUUAAGUCAGCGGUCAAAGCCCGGGGCUCAACCCCGGCAAGCCGUUGAAACUGGCUUGCUAGAGUGGGCGAGAAGUAUGCGGAAUGCGUGGUGUAGCGGUGAAAUGCAUAGAUAUCACGCAGAACGCCGAUUGCGAAGGCAGCAUACCGGCGCCCAACUGACGCUCAGGCACGAAAGCGUGGGUAUCGAACAGGAUUAGAUACCCCAGUAGUC